Molecule: ribosomal RNA, 473 nt
Filed under: uncultured bacterium
Lineage: Bacteria
Description: partial 16S ribosomal RNA
Rfam family: Bacterial small subunit ribosomal RNA
Source: RNAcentral
GGUGAACGCUGGCGGCGUGCCUAAGACAUGCAAGUCGAGCGGGCCGCGGGGUUUUACUCCGUGGUCAGCGGCGGACGGGUGAGUAACGCGUGGGUGACCUACCCGGAAGAGGGGGACAACCCGGGGAAACUCGGGCUAAUCCCCCAUGUGGACCCGCCCCUUGGGGUGUGUCCAAAGGGCUUUGCCCGCUUCCGGAUGGGCCCGCGUCCCAUCAGCUAGUUGGUGGGGUAAUGGCCCACCAAGGCGACGACGGGUAGCCGGCCUGAGAGGGUGGCCGGCCACAGGGGCACUGAGCCGCGGGCCCGACUCCUACGGGAGGCAGCAGUUAGGAAUCUUCCGCAAUGGGCGCAAGCCUGACGGAGCGACGCCGCUUGGAGGAAGAAGCCCUUCGGGGUGUAAACUCCUGAACCCGGGACGAAACCCCCGACGAGGGGACUGACGGUACCGGGGUAAUAGCGCCGGCCAACUCCGUG